CUUGCAAGCUAUUUAGCAGUACAGUGAGUAACCUAUAUAAUUCACCCUGAAAAGAAGUGAUAGUCAUAACAAAAGUAUCAGAAAAUUAUCUUAAUUCUAAAACACUAAGCCCCCCACAUCUGCAGUACCUAAUAUUAUACAAUAAGCAAAAACUUGAUAUAGUUAUAGACCAAAAGAGUUGGUUAAUUAUGUGCCAGCCACCGCGGUUAUACAUAAAACUCAAAUCAAGAAAACAAUAAAUCGGUCUAAAAGUGACCAGGGUAUAAACCAUUUUAAGGUGAAAAACAACUCUAGUAUUAACAAGCUUUCACAGUAAACUAACAACUAACUUAAAACCCACCUUAAUUUCUACUUUCUAACCCGAAACACCAAAGCUCAAAAAUAAACUGGGAUUAGAUACCCCACUAUAUGAGCCGUAAAAAACCAAAAACACCAGAGAACUACGAACAAAAGUUUAAAACUCAAAGGACUUGGCGGUUUUUUAGAUCUCCCUGGAGGAGCUUGCUAUCUAACCGAUAACCCACGAAAAACCUUACCAGC
Molecule: ribosomal RNA, 540 nt
Filed under: Astropecten monacanthus
Lineage: Eukaryota; Metazoa; Echinodermata; Asteroidea; Paxillosida; Astropectinidae
Description: partial 12S ribosomal RNA
Source: RNAcentral